GCGUCCAGCUAGGAAAAUCGUUUAACCAGGAGAUGCAACCUGUCCAGGGAAGUGAAACUCUGAGUUUCAUUUAUUCAGCUUUGUAAUUCGUCUGGGCUUUUGUGCACAUUUGGUGUCAUUGAAGUUUGAUGAAGCCCAUCUGAUAAAGAAUUAGCUAGUCAAUAUGCUCGAAACCCGUCGUAUCACGUAUGAGUUGAACACGUUUCUUUCUCUGCCGCCGGGAUAUAGGGUCACACCUAGGGUUUCAAAUCAGUUGCUUCAUCUUCUUCCUACCGAUCUCAGAAAUCCACAAGUUACAGAUUCCUCCUAUUAAAGUCUUCUUAAAAUCAUCAUCCACGAUCUACUUUCAAUGUGAACUUUGCUCUUAGAAGGCGGUGGGACUUCAAGUAUAUAAAGAAGUUGAGUUGUUGAAAGAGAGGAUGGCGAAGCUACUGCUUGGUGAAGACAUGUCAGGUUCUGGUGAAGGAGUUUGUCCUGCCAUCUCUAACGCUAUUACCAAUCUCUACAGUAAUUAUCUUUAGCUAUGAAUGUUUAUAUGAUAUUAAGGAGAUAAAUGGUGGCUUCCUCUGCCAUGUGUGCCAUCUGAUGGAUUCUCUGAGCAGUCCAAGAAACAGCUUGACUGCACUUAUGAUUUCACUAACCAAAUUUUGAAAGCGUGUAAGUCAGUCAACAACAUUGCGUUAGCUGAAAUGGAAGUUCCAAAAGCAUACAUUGAAGCUCGUCCAAAGGUUACUUGCUUGGACUCAGUAGAUCUUUCUUCGGAGCAUGUUGUUGUGGAGAUGGAGAAUAGAGUAGAAGCAUCAACGUACAUCUGGAGGAGAAGAGCUCAUUCAAGGCAUUUGAUUUCACUGUAUAGAUCCACUGGUGCAAGACCCUCUUGGGGAGGGGGGUGAUAGUGAAAAAGAUGAUGAAUCAAGCGGUAACACUUUUGAUUGGUCGGAGAAGGGAAGCGGUUCGCAGCUGAAGAGAGCUCAAGAGAGAGAGAGAGAGAGCAUAAUCCCUAAACGGUAACACUCUUGAAAUUCCAAUCUACUUUUUUGAAUUUUGGUUUUCUUGAACAUUGGAGCUACUAAAGGAAAGUAUUUAUCGAUGUGGGUAGUGGAAAAGAAGUAUUGGAACAUGAUGGUUUGUUAACAAUAUUUUUUUUUUCCUAAAAUGUGAAUAUCAAAUUAAUGAAAGGCUUAGGUUUACAAGGCCUAUAUUUGUGUUACCUUGGCAAAAAAGAAUAAAAAACAAGGAGAACACAAUGGGGGAUUAAGAUGUUUGGUCACCUAAUCCAUAAUGACAUAGGAGAUUUGAAAGUCUUCUUAUGCCUUCGAGCUGUGAUUGUGUUGCGUACUUCUCUGUCUAUGGUCUUGAAAGUUACUUCAGUGGUGGUGUAUCCGUUGAGGUGCAAGGCAGAGUAUCGCUGUCUCCAAACGUUGUAGAUCGUAGCCUGCGUGACCAGAAUCCUGAGCGUUGAUGGUGCAGUUGGAGAAGAUUGCCGAGUCCAAGAUAGCAGCUCUCCCCAUGUGAAGAAGAGUUGAUGGUGAGGUUGUAGGCGCGCAAAGAUCCGAUUCAACAGAGAGACAGAGGAAUCUGAAGUUUGAGAUGUACAAGACUGAAACGGUGAACGGUGAGAUGAGCUUUGAACCUGAAAAUAUGGGGAUGAUGAAGGAGUGGCUGAAAGAGAAUGUAAAGGAGGAGAAAUAUGUGGUGAUGAAGGCAGAGUUUGAGGUGAUGGAGGUGAUAAUGAGGAGCAAGACGAUAAAAUGGUGGAUAAGUUUUGCUAGGGGUAAGGAGAAGGAACAUGGAAAGGGACGUGACAGAGAAUAUCUAUCAAACCAUGCAUUUUUUCUUUUUUCUUUUUUCUUUACAUUAUCUGCUUUUUUUUCUUCCAUUCUGUUGUUGGAAUUUGUUUUAAUCAUUCAUUCAUGUAUUGUCGUGUGUUUUUAGUAUUUUUUGUGGUGUUGUAGGUUUUGAGAUCUAAUGAGCCUAAUUAAUUAUGCUAAGUAAUUCCUCGCCGAA
This is a long non-coding RNA of Brassica napus (rape), 2007 nucleotides long. RefSeq lists it as uncharacterized. The transcript is spliced from 3 exons. The record is from RefSeq and is a predicted model, not a curated record. Lineage: Eukaryota; Viridiplantae; Streptophyta; Magnoliopsida; Brassicales; Brassicaceae.